GACGAACGCUGGCGGCGUGCUUAACACAUGCAAGUCGAACGGAAAGGCCCAGCUUGCUGGGUACUCGAGUGGCGAACGGGUGAGUAACACGUGGGUUAUCUGCCCUCAACUUUGGGAUAAGCCUAGGAAACUGGGUCUAAUACCGGAUAUGAUCAACUGUCGCAUGGUGGUUGGUGGAAAGCUUUUGCGGUUGAGGAUGGGCCCGCGGCCUAUCAGCUUGUUGGUGGGGUAAUGGCCUACCAAGGCGACGACGGGUAGCCGACCUGAGAGGGUGAUCGGCCACACUGGGACUGAGACACGGCCCAGACUCCUACGGGAGGCAGCAGUGGGGAAUAUUGCACAAUGGGCGCAAGCCUGAUGCAGCGACGCCGCGUGAGGGAUGACGGCCUUCGGGUUGUAAACCUCUUUCACCAGGGACGAAGCGUGAGUGACGGUACCUGGAGAAGUAGCACCGGCCAACUACGUG
Molecule: ribosomal RNA, 466 nt
Filed under: uncultured bacterium
Lineage: Bacteria
Description: partial 16S ribosomal RNA
Rfam family: Bacterial small subunit ribosomal RNA
Source: RNAcentral